This 106-nucleotide microRNA precursor is filed under the name Marmota monax (woodchuck). The record is from RNAcentral. Lineage: Eukaryota; Metazoa; Chordata; Mammalia; Rodentia; Sciuridae.
AGUAGAAUUGCUGGGUAAUAUGAUGAUAACUCCAUGCUUAAUCUUUUGAGGAACUGUCAAACUGUUUUCCAUGACAGCUGGGCCAUUUUACAGUCUCACCAGCAGU